Long non-coding RNA from Brienomyrus brachyistius, 310 nucleotides. RefSeq lists it as uncharacterized. The transcript is spliced from 3 exons. The record is from RefSeq and is a predicted model, not a curated record. NCBI's taxonomy places the organism in Eukaryota, Metazoa, Chordata, Actinopteri, Osteoglossiformes, Mormyridae.
UUGAACCAUAGAUGAAGUGACUGAACUCCACCGUAAAACCAGAGGCACUCUUCUUUGGCUCCCUUCUAUAUAGCAUAAAUGCAACAGAUAUUUUCAUGCGUGGUUUGUUAGAGUUUACGUGCCCACCAUGAUGAAUUUGUCUGAGUGACCGUCCCACAUGCCUGAUACAAAUUGCAGGACUAAUGCCAAAAUAUUCUGAAAAGGGCUGGGGAGUAGUAUAUAGGACCGCAGGGAUCCGGAAGCAAAAGCUAAGUGACACUAAAUAAAGGAGACGUAAGAUGGCUGCGUACCUGAUUCCUGUCCCUGGCAG